AUUAAUUGGCGGCAAUUUAAAUUUUUUAGAGGAAUUUAUUCUGUAAAGGAUCCAACACCAAAAUCUUACUUUUGUUAGUUUACAGUUUGUAUAUCUCUAUAUAAAAAUAUAAUAUUAUAUUUUUUAUUUUAUUGACUAACUAUAUUUUAGGUAAAGGUGCAGCUUAUACAAAAGAUUGAAAUAAAUUAUAUUAAUUAUUGUUUAACAAUAUAUCUAUGGUAAAUAGGUGUUUAGUAAAAUUUAAAAGUAAAAUUAAUAGAUUAAGUUAAUUUGAAUAUUAAUUUAAUUGUGUACAUAUUGCCCGUCAC
This 308-nucleotide ribosomal RNA is filed under the name Euseius oolong. Its description in RNAcentral is "partial small subunit ribosomal RNA". Lineage: Eukaryota; Metazoa; Arthropoda; Arachnida; Mesostigmata; Phytoseiidae. The record is from RNAcentral.